UACGUAGGCAGCGAGCGUUGUUCGGAGUUACUGGGCGUAAAGGGUGUGUAGGCGGUUUUCUAAGUCAGACGUGAAAUCCCUCGGCUCAACCGGGGAACUGCGUCUGAUACUGGAUGGCUUGAAUUCGGGAGAGGGAUGCGGAAUUCCAGGUGUAGCGGUGAAAUGCGUAGAUAUCUGGAGGAACACCGGUGGCGAAGGCGGCAUCCUGGACUGAGAUUGACGCUGAUGCGCGAAAGCCAGGGGAGCAAACGGG
This 253-nucleotide ribosomal RNA is filed under the name uncultured bacterium. RNAcentral's name for it is "partial 16S ribosomal RNA". It matches the Rfam family "Bacterial small subunit ribosomal RNA", at positions 524 to 776 of the family's 1533-position model. The record is from RNAcentral.